UUAGCUGGUGGCUGGUGGCUUUAUGCUACGGGGUCAGAUCAAAGGAUAGUGGGCCGUACGCAGCAUUUCACCCAAAGGAUCCAAUGUGACCGAGGCGCUGAAUAUCUACCUAUCUAUAUUGACAGUGUCAUGGAAAAAUGGAUUAUGCACCCACAAAUGCAACACGAAACAACGUCCCUGCAAAGGUGACUUGGAUAUUCAUUGCAGCCUUGACAUAUUUAUGGUGCUCCAAAGCCAGGGUCAAGGGAAGAAACUAUGACACAUGUACAACCACAAAAAUAUAUUGAGUGUUGUUUUACUAUUUUAAAACACUACAUAAUAUAUGUGCAAACAAGAAAAGAAUGCUUGGCUACUGAUUUUAUGCUGCCGGCAAAAAAUACCUGCUGUAUCUUUCAUUAAUAGAUUUCCAAUAAAAUAAAUUAACUUUUAACCCAAUCAUUGUUUCAUUCAUUUAUUUAUGGUGGUUACCACCUUAACCUUUGGUAUGCUUAGGAGCAGAUCUGCUCCCAUGUACUUACCUAUAUUCAACUUUAAAAAAUGCAUUAAUUUUGACGACCGGUCUGACCUAGUGGGUAGUGACCCUGCCUGCUAAGCCGAUGGUCCUAGGUUCGAAUCCCAGUAAGGGCAUUUAUUUGUGUGGUGAACACUAAUAUUUGUUCCUGAGUCAUGGGUGUUUUCUAUGUAUAUAAGUAUGUAUUUAUCUAUAUAAGUAUGUGUCGUUGCCUAGCACCCAUAGUACAAGCUUUGCUUAGUUUGGGGCUAGGUUGAUCUGUGUAAGAU
Cydia fagiglandana is the source of this 780-nucleotide long non-coding RNA. RefSeq lists it as uncharacterized. NCBI's taxonomy places the organism in Eukaryota, Metazoa, Arthropoda, Insecta, Lepidoptera, Tortricidae. The transcript is spliced from 2 exons. The record is from RefSeq and is a predicted model, not a curated record.